RNAcentral lists this long non-coding RNA (960 nucleotides) under Ananas comosus (pineapple). RNAcentral's name for it is "long non-coding RNA (ACOM_LNC007581)". The record is from RNAcentral. Lineage: Eukaryota; Viridiplantae; Streptophyta; Magnoliopsida; Poales; Bromeliaceae.
AAAUAAAAAAAUGAAGCAAUUUGAGCAACAUGAAAGGAUGAGUAGUAACCCUAAGGGUGCGUUUGGUUCGAGUUAUCCUAGCAGGAUUACAGGCAAUCCUGCCAGGAUAAUUGUGUUUGGUUAAUCCGCUAUGUAAUCUAGUCGUUAAUGUAGCAUUACAAAUCGAGCAGGAUUACAUCGAAAAUAUUAACGGGAGGGGGGUCGUGUAUCUUGCAUUACUGAAACCCGUUAAUAAUACAUAUUAUGUAAAAUGACAAUUUUACCCUCCAACAACCCCAAAUCUAAUUAACAGCAUUAUUUUUAUCUCUCUCUCUCUCCUUCCUCCCUCUCUUUCGCACGCCGCUUUCUCUCGCUCUCUCUCUCUCUCUCUCUCUCUCUCUCUCUCUCUCUCUCUCUCUCUCUCGCACGAACACCUAUCAUCUUCUAUUGCGUCGUCCUCCCAAGUAAUCAUCACAAUCUCCUUCCCUCCGUUCGUCAUUUUCGCAAAAAAUAAUAUUCAAAUGACCACAACAAGGGCAAUUUUGAAAAAAAUUAUACUUUUAUGUCAGGAUUAUUAAAUUUUAUAAACUGAACCAAACGUAUUAAUGCUAUAAACACUGUAAUCUAGUAUUACAUUACUGUAUUAAACCAAACGCGCUAAUGCAGCAUCAGUAGUAAUCUCACGCCGAAAUCCAAGAUACCUGGAUAUGUCAGGAUUAUUAAAUUUUAUAAACUGAACCAAACGUAUUAAUGCUAUAAACACUGUAAUCUAGUAUUACAUUACUGUAUUAAACCAAACGCGCUAAUGCAGCAUCAGUAGUAAUCUCACGCCGAAAUCCAAGAUACCUGGAUAUGUUAAGAUACUUUGUAAUAUUACAUAACUCGAACCAAACGGGCCCUAAAGAAUACUUUUAAAAACUGCUAUCAAACUAUAUAAACGUACUGAACUACAAAUAUUCAAAAUAUUUAGUCACUAACUAU